GAAGGAUCACGGGCUGGUACGGCCAUGACACGAGGCAUCAUCGUGACAGCGGCAGUGCUGGAGGAAGUGAGCGUUUUAUAACCCUGUAAUCAGGAGCUGCUGUCAGGAGAAAAACACACUGUGACUCAUCGUUCUUUCUCCAAUUUCUCCUCCAGCACACAGAACCUGCGAGUGUGGAGGCGACGUUCUAAUCGAGCGUGCUGAUGUUCUACAACCAGAUGCGUGACGUGUGACACAACGGAGCAUCGGCGUCUCAGGUGAUAAUGGGCAUAAAACAGAUCUGCAUCAUGCUGGGGUCAUCGACCUUCAUCAUCUGUUUCUGAACACCUCAGUCAUCAGAGAGGAAACAGGAAGUGGUAAUUUGCAUCACAUCUUGCUGAGACUUUUAUUUAUAGAAAUAUUGACAUGUUGAUCAGUAUUUUAUUCAGCUCCAGAUGCAGCAAGAGAUUAUUUUAACAACUUUUUAACACCAGAGCUUCAUCUCUACUCAAACGUUCUCCUUUCUCCUGCACUGGCGAUGGCCUCCUCACGCUCCUCACGCUGAGUUUUAUGCUGAAGAUGUUUAUCAGGUUUUGUUCUGGAUGCUGUCGGAAGAUGAUGUUGUUCCUCCUCUGGAUCUUUUCAGAGUGCAGUUUACAGUCUGCUUUACUCAGAACAUUCAUCAUGAAAUCCAUCCAGAUCGCUGUGAUUUCACAUCAUCUCUUUGUUAGCGUGGCUCAUGUCUAAGGGUAUCACCUAUAAUAAUAAUAAUAAUAAUAAUAAUAAUAAUAAUAAUCUCAUUAUCUCUAGCCGCUUUAUCAUUAUUACGCAAAUGAAGCUUCAUUAAGUUCACAAGCUUCAGAUUAUCUCAUUAAAUGCAAACAUUUAGAUAAUUAGAUAAAAACAUAAAGCGUUUUAAUUCAUGACUGUAAUGUGAGAGGCUCGGUGCAGAAUUAAAUUAUUCACUUGAGCAGCGCUGAUGAUUUUUAAUGUUUUAUUUUCACCUCAUUUGCAUAUGUAAUGAAUUUGUGCUGGAUUACAGUCAUCAUGUCUCUCCUUUAUCCCUCUCUCUCCGUCUUUAUCCCUCAUUCUUGUAUCUUUUCAAUCUCUCCCCAUCCUCAUUACUGCAUUUC
Neoarius graeffei (lesser salmon catfish) is the source of this 1112-nucleotide long non-coding RNA. RefSeq lists it as uncharacterized. The record is from RefSeq and is a predicted model, not a curated record. The transcript is spliced from 4 exons. NCBI's taxonomy places the organism in Eukaryota, Metazoa, Chordata, Actinopteri, Siluriformes, Ariidae.